Long non-coding RNA from Mobula hypostoma (lesser devil ray), 1174 nucleotides. RefSeq lists it as uncharacterized. The record is from RefSeq and is a predicted model, not a curated record. NCBI's taxonomy places the organism in Eukaryota, Metazoa, Chordata, Chondrichthyes, Myliobatiformes, Myliobatidae. The transcript has 3 exons.
AGCGACAAAUGAGUACAAAAGCUAAAUUUAGCCAUAAAGCUCAUAUUCCCAGAAUAAAUAAUUUAAUAUAGAAACUACUGAAUGAUUUCUUAGGAGGAAACAAAAAGAAAAACUUAAAAUUUUUUUUUUAAUUUUGAAGGCAGACUUGCGAUUUUAUGACAAUGUUGUGUGUCUUUCUGAUGAGGUGAGAUGCCCACAGGUGGAACAAAACAAGUGAUGAACUUGUUCAAGCUUUGAGUGAGGGGAAGGUCCAGCUUUCGCCGGGGUUGAGAGGCUUCCGACACACACUUCAACGAAGAGCCUUCAUCUCAUCUACAGAAUGGAAACCUAUGAUUGCUCGACUUGGGUGUGAGGAGUGCAGUCUUGGGUCAUUGCUUAGCAUACGGUGUUGGAAAGAGUUCAACCAACAAGGUUUGAUGUGUUCAGAGUAAUUACAAAGAAACGAUAGAACUAAUGAAAGACAGCAACAAAGAAGAUGAACUAACAACCAAUGUGCAAAAGGCAACAAAUGAUGCUGCCUGGCCUGCUGGAUUGGGCAUGGAACUAGCAAUCCUAUCCUUUGAAAACCUAGAACUACAGAAACGCCAACAGAAGCUCCAAAGACCCCAUCCUUAAGAAGACUUAAGAAUGCAUGCGGUGAAAGUGGAGGCCACAAGGCCAAUCAACCUUCCUUCAGCCCAGGACUGAGGACUGUGGCAAGCUGCUGUUGGUUGUCCUAUGUCCCAGUAAGGGUGAUGGGGUCAGGAAGAAGAGGUAAAAUAUACUUUGAACCAUUGAAAUAUUAUUAGCUGUUUUCGUAUUAUCUUGGGAAGUAGGGAAGUUUUCACUGCUGAUAUUUGAUACAAUUCAAAAGGACUAAGACGUGAAAGGCUAUGAACAGCACUGGCAAAUGGGAUCAGUAUAUUUCUUUAUUUAAUUGUUUGUUUUAUUUCUUACAUCCAAGGGGGGUAAAAAUCUUUAUAUUGCGUCUCUGUCGCAAUAUUCAAGCAAGAAAGAGGAGAAAUGAGGGAAGGUAUUGCCCAAACCCUGAAAUUGUAUAUAUAAUUGUUUUGCAUAAUGUAUGUACAGUCAGAUAUGCAAUCAGAUCAAUGUGUAUUGAUCAAUCUGAUGACCUGGUGAAAGAAGCUGUCCUGAACCCUAUUGGUCCUGAACCUAAUCUAUGUAAAUAAGCUAU